This 446-nucleotide long non-coding RNA is filed under the name Lupinus angustifolius (narrow-leaved blue lupine). Its description in RNAcentral is "long non-coding RNA (LANG_LNC003701)". Lineage: Eukaryota; Viridiplantae; Streptophyta; Magnoliopsida; Fabales; Fabaceae. The record is from RNAcentral.
CGAAUUAGCAUUGCUCUCCUUUUCUUAGGUUGCCCUUGUGGGUUUUCAACCUAGCGCUCUUUUUCUUUUUCUUUCUUGCUUGUUUUUUCCUUUGAAUACUUUUGAACACCCUCAAGUUGCAAUCACAAGUGCAUGAAAGCAUGAGUCAUAUUUGAAGUUUGAAGGCGAAGAUGCAAGAUCUUGCCUCCGCUUGGUUGAGGGAUUUUGGACUGAUUCAUGAUGAGUAACUUCAGUCUUACCCAAGUUAUAGGUUUCUGGGUACCUUCUUUCGAGAAAUGAGAUCAGCCUCCACAAACUGCCCCAGUUUGACACCUUUCGUUUGAUUUCAACUUGUCAAGUGUUUUCUUCAUGCACAACUCCUUAAAAAUAAAUACUAAAAACAGUGAUCAAGCAAAUUUGGAUUUUUGUUUUUGGGUUUUGAGUGUUGAUAUGGUGGUGGUGAUGAU